This 254-nucleotide ribosomal RNA is filed under the name uncultured prokaryote. RNAcentral's name for it is "partial 16S ribosomal RNA". It matches the Rfam family "Bacterial small subunit ribosomal RNA", at positions 524 to 777 of the family's 1533-position model. The record is from RNAcentral.
UACGGAGGAUGCAAGCGUUAUCCGGAUUUAUUGGGUUUAAAGGGUGCGCAGGUUGUUUGAUAAGUCAGUGGUGAAAGUCUGUCGCUUAACGGUAGGAUUGCCAUUGAUACUGUUAGACUUGAAUAUGGAUGAGGUAGGCGGAAUGUGUAGUGUAGCGGUGAAAUGCAUAGAUAUGUCGUGGAAUACCGAUUGCGAAGGCAGCUAACUGGGUCUUGAUUGACGCUGAGGCACGAAAGCGUGGGGAGCGAACAGGA